UACAGAGGUCUCAAGCGUUGUUCGGAUUCAUUGGGCGUAAAGGGUGCGUAGGUGGUGCUGUAAGUCAGGUGUGAAAUCUCGGGGCUCAACCCCGGAACUGCCUUUGAUACUGGCAUUCUCGAGUCCGGAAGAGGUGAGUGGAAUUCCGAGUGUAGAGGUGAAAUUCGUAGAUAUUCGGAGGAACACCAGUGGCGAAGGCGGCUCACUGGUCCGGUACUGACGCUGAGGUGCGAAAGCGUGGGGAGCAAACAGG
Molecule: ribosomal RNA, 253 nt
Filed under: uncultured bacterium
Lineage: Bacteria
Description: partial 16S ribosomal RNA
Rfam family: Bacterial small subunit ribosomal RNA
Source: RNAcentral